UAUGAUUUAUAGAAGAUGCUAUGUAAGAUGAUGACAGCAUACUCUGUACACGUGAGUUCAGCAUGGUUCGAUGAUGUAUGAUUUGUUUUAAAGAAAACCAUGACUACAAGGACCUACAACAAACCUAAGUCUGCACAAGGGGUAAAUAAAUAUAUCACCAACUCUUACCUACUUGGACCUUAUAGAUCCUGAAGAUUUUCUUGGAGACAGGUCAAAAAGCAGAUCCAAAAGAAUUAAAGAAGACACGAGAUAUUAAAAAGAAGACACGAGGCAAAGGAUAAUAACAAAGCUACAUCUCCUUUCUAAAUUGAAAGCGCACUCCAUCUAAGACACCCAUGGCCAUAUCACCUGAUUUUCACACUGCGGAGAAGCCUACUGGGCAAUCUGCUGUCACUCAACUACGAUACACACCAGCUGCGGAAGGUGAUGUUUUUAAGUUCAAUGGUUUGAGUUUAUGAAACAAAUGGUUGCCCAGUUGCUUGUGCUGUUUGCAACACAAGCAUAUAGAGCUAAAAUUAUCAACCACCGGAGAAAGCGAUUUUCUGAGACAUCACCAUCAGAAGAGACUAAGUGGAAAAACCAAACUCUUAAAAAGGCUGCAAGCGAAGAGAACGUACCUCAAUAUGAGGUUGCUUGCUAUUAUGAAAGCGAGGUGCACUUGGUGUGUAUACAUCAUCCAGUGAAUCCAAGCUUGCUUCCCUUCACAUAUGCACAAGAAGUGUACACAAAAAUCUAGCAAUCAAGGAACAUUUGACAAUCACAAUUAGACUAAGCAAGGAAGAUGUACCUGCACUGUAGCUAAAACACUAGAACAUAACUGCAUACUGUACAUGUCCCGUAGUUGAUUGACUUGAUUCUGUCAGA
Long non-coding RNA from Triticum aestivum (bread wheat), 864 nucleotides. RefSeq lists it as uncharacterized. NCBI's taxonomy places the organism in Eukaryota, Viridiplantae, Streptophyta, Magnoliopsida, Poales, Poaceae. The record is from RefSeq and is a predicted model, not a curated record. The transcript has 3 exons.